Hyla sarda is the source of this 652-nucleotide long non-coding RNA. RefSeq lists it as uncharacterized. The record is from RefSeq and is a predicted model, not a curated record. NCBI's taxonomy places the organism in Eukaryota, Metazoa, Chordata, Amphibia, Anura, Hylidae. The transcript has 3 exons.
GGGACGCUGUGGUCACCCGGCUGUUGCUGCUCUUGUUCCCGCCUGGCUGCCCCGGGGCUGAGGACAGUUCUGCAUUUCGUUCAUUCAUUCCACUAGUACUUUGCGCAGGAUGGGUGCCAAAAAUGAAUUGUAUUAGGAAAUGUGAUUAAUUGUCUAAUUACAGUAUAGGAGUAACAAUAGAAGAAGUUUGGCCAAGAAAAAUAAAAUAAAACAUAUGAAAAAAAAGUGAUCACUAUUUUAUUGAGUCCUGAUGCAUCACUUCAUGGAAGUUCCUGGAUUUAAAUCUCAUCCUCCUUUCUUCUGGAAAAUCUACAGUUUCUACUUCAGAUAUUAUGUUCUUCAAGGUUUCUUCUUCCAUAUUGUAGAUAAUUAUUCCUAAUCGACCUUCGUUUGUUCAUUAGGACUUGAUUUUUCCUAUUGCUGAACUUAUACCUAACGUUUAUUGGUUAUAAAUAAUAUGUUACAGAUGUUUAUAUUUAUGUAUCUACUUACCUGUUUUAUUCACACCAAAGAAGAGGAAGUAUGUUACCUGUACAUUCAUUAUAUCACCUGUGUUGAUCACUGAUUGGCUGUCCUUACAUACCUCAUUUGUAUACUACCAGUUUUUUUUCUGUACACCUGUUUAAUUAACCCUUUGCUGCUAUAUCCAAUA